RNAcentral lists this ribosomal RNA (232 nucleotides) under uncultured bacterium. Its description in RNAcentral is "partial 16S ribosomal RNA". It matches the Rfam family "Bacterial small subunit ribosomal RNA", at positions 96 to 334 of the family's 1533-position model. The record is from RNAcentral.
UGGCGGACGGGUGAGUAAUGUCUGGGAAACUGCCUGAUGGAGGGGGAUAACUACUGGAACGGUAGCUAAUACCGCAUAACGUCGCAAGACCAAGAGGGGACCUUCGGGCCUCUUGCCAUCGGAUGUGCCCAGAUGGGAUUAGCUAGUAGGUGGGGUAACGGCUCACCUAGGCGACGAUCCCUAGCUGGUCUGAGAGGAUGACCAGCCACACUGGAACUGAGACACGGUCCAG